GGCAACAAGUUAUGUCUUUGUUGCCCUAUACAGAUAUAUGUGCAACGAAACAUGGGAUGUGUAGCCCUUUAAUUAUUUUUUUGGGCCACGAAAUAUAACUUGGUUGCCUAUUAUCAUAGUUGGGCCACAAAUAACUUAUUUCGUUGUCUAUUUUUAUUAAAUUAAGCUGAGUGGUAUUUUAUUUGGUUGCCCAAAUCCCACUAAAAAUUUGGCGGACAAAUAUACCGCUUUCAUUGAAAUUCCCCCCAAAAAAAUUCAUAAGAAUAGUGAUGAUCGAAAUAUUUCAGUACUGCUCUACUGCUUAAAGAAUUCACCCUUUACCCACAAUCAAACCAAUUUCCCUUCUCAGCCGUUCAACAAAAAAAAAAAAAAAAUUCCCUUCUCUUUGCUCUGAUCAAAACGAAAGCAGCCAUUGAAGAGCAGUGACGGGCGGUUCAAAUUCAAAGCAAUCAACAGCGGUAACUACGAGUUUAAGGUUGAGGCAUUGACGGCAGAGAGGCCGCAGGUUGGUUACCCAACCUCUCUCGCCGAUUCCACCUUCGAUCUUCAGAGGAAAUUCGUUCAAACCGCCCUUAGUUCCGGUGAUUCCGGCGCUGUUCAAUCCUCUUUCAAUUACAUCACCCCUUCCUCUGCUGUUGCUCAGGAAAAUGUCAAUCAUACCAACAUCAUUGGAGCAAAAUCAACAAGAAAAUGAGAUUCAACAACCACCACCAAGGUUGACUUAUCGUGAGCAGCGAAGGAUUGACCAAGCUGAGCUUGGAAAAAAAUAUCCAGAUCGUAAGAGGCGUGGUCUUACCAGGGGCUUAAAAUAUGCUUCUAAAAGGACAAAAAAUCUAGACGAAAAAAUUAUAAUAACUUUCAUGGAUGAGCUUCGACCUGUGGUUGGUGAAAAGGCAAAUGAGUUCAUAUGUGAUUGUAGCAAUUGGGUCGAAGAGUUUUGUCCUUUAGAUGCAUUAAAUUGGGCUAAAAUGGAUUCUUCUGCAAAGCAAAGUUUGUAUGACAAGAUUUUGGGAAAAUACAAUUUUACAUGAAAAGGUUGGUGGUGCUGACGCGAUUGAUGCAUUGAGCUUUCAAUGCUCUAUCCUAUAUAGGCAUUGGAGGUUUAGACUAAAGGAAAAAUACUAUGGAGGCAAAACUAAGGCAUAGGCUAGAGAAAAUAGACCUCCAACUAUUGAUCCGACACAAUGGGAUUGGUUGGUUUAUGAGUAUUGGAGUUCCCCAAAACAAGCGGCCAUUAGCAAAGUAAACACUGCAAAUAAACUAAAGUUGACUGAAACACCGGCCAAUGGAGCAAAGUCUACAGCACGAAUAUUCUUUGAUCUGCUUAAUGAGCCACCAAAUGUCUCCACUCAAGAUGAAGAGCCAUCCGAACAUGCUGAAGUACAACAACAACAAGAUCCCAUCUACGUGAGAUUAUAUGAGAAGACCAAAAAGCAUAACAAAAAGGAUGGGACUACUACUUGGGAGCCAAAUGCUGAAAAGAACUAUGAAGAACUCAAAAGACUUCAUGAAACUGAAAUUGCAGAAGAUGGCGAGGACACACUCAGUGUAAAAGAUGCUUAUAUGAAAGUGUUAAAACCUAAAUCUGGAUAUGGGAGAGGACUUGGUCUUGGAGCUCGACCACCUGCAAAGUUAGAGCCCAAGGAGAUGAUAUGGAAAGGGUUCAACUUGCUACUCAAGUUCACACACUUAGUGCAUCAAAUAAAGAGCUUAGAGCAUCGAAUGAACAAUUAAAAGCAUCAAAUGAGGAGCUCAAAGCAGAAUUUUCUCGAAUGAAUAAGGAAGCCAUUGAACGUGAAAAGAAACUAAGAGAAGAUAUGCUAAAAAUGUUUUGAGGAAAUGAGGAACAAGGGAGCAUGAUGUUUUUCCUUAACAAAUCGAGGAUGUCCUGUGCAUUUUGGAUAUAAUAGUGGUAUCAUGAAUAUUAGAUAGGGUUUAACUACGAUAAUUUUCCAAUGUAUUUUCCCAAAGGCUUUUUCCUUGUAUUUUGAGAAAUAAUUAAUUUAUAAUAUGAUUGCCAUAUUAAAAUUCUUAAAGUUGUCAUAUUAGUUAUCUUUGAAAUGUAAUUAUACAGGACUAGGGUACAAGUAUUAUUAUUGUGAAGUGAAAACAGGUUGGAGAAAUUCAGUUACAAGAACGAUAGGACAAUAAAAUAAAUAUC
This is a long non-coding RNA of Chenopodium quinoa (quinoa), 2161 nucleotides long. RefSeq lists it as uncharacterized. The record is from RefSeq and is a predicted model, not a curated record. The transcript has 9 exons. NCBI's taxonomy places the organism in Eukaryota, Viridiplantae, Streptophyta, Magnoliopsida, Caryophyllales, Amaranthaceae.